UACGUAGGGUGCGAGCGUUGUCCGGAAUUACUGGGCGUAAAGAGCUCGUAGGUGGUUUGUCGCGUCGUCCGUGAAAUCCCAUGGCUUAACUGUGGGCGUGCGGGCGAUACGGGCAAUACUUGAGUGCUGUAGGGGAGACUGGAAUUCCUGGUGUAGCGGUGAAAUGCGCAGAUAUCAGGAGGAACACCAAUGGCGAAGGCAGGUCUCUGGGCAGUUACUGACGCUGAGGAGCGAAAGCAUGGGUAGCGAACAGGAUUA
This 258-nucleotide ribosomal RNA is filed under the name uncultured prokaryote. Its description in RNAcentral is "partial 16S ribosomal RNA". It matches the Rfam family "Bacterial small subunit ribosomal RNA", at positions 524 to 780 of the family's 1533-position model. The record is from RNAcentral.